This is a transfer RNA of Schizosaccharomyces cryophilus OY26, 71 nucleotides long. It matches the Rfam family "tRNA". Rfam says of the family: Transfer RNA (tRNA) molecules are approximately 80 nucleotides in length. Their secondary structure includes four short double-helical elements and three loops (D, anti-codon, and T loops). The record is from Rfam. Lineage: Eukaryota; Fungi; Ascomycota; Schizosaccharomycetes; Schizosaccharomycetales; Schizosaccharomycetaceae.
GCAUCAGUGGUGUAGCGGUAACAUGGAUGCCUUCCAAGCAUUCGCUCCGGGUUCGACUCCCGGCUGAUGCA